UUUUUUUUCUGGCUUGCUCCCUGCAAUUUUGCACAGGGUGAAUUUGCCAAUGUCGGUGUUGACUUUCACACGUGAGGAGAAUGUUGGGUAUAAUAAUUUUGCAUUUUUGGGAGGAUGUGGUUGGGGAAACCUAAAAACAAAUAAUUGUUAUGAACAUCACAGACAAACACAUGACGAAUACAACGAUUAGCAAAAAAGCGGGAAGCGGAUGACAGAACGUUAGUAGUGCCAACAUGAAGGAAGUGGAAGAGAAGAAAACGAUAUGUAUAACAUGGAAAUAUAGAGUAUAGAAUAAAACGAGUAUAGAUUGACAUGAAUUAUACGCAUUAAAUUAGAAAAGACACUAUUUAGAAUUUAAUGUUAUUUGUUUGUAAAUAUUUAAUUAGAAUAGAAGUUAGCUUAGUAUCCAUGUGGCAAAGAAGCGAGUUAAAGCAUAUAGGUCGUGGAACAUUUUCGGGUAAUACAUCGUACAGUGAGUAGCUACAUUUUGUACAAGCAAAGAAGAUGUGGUCCAAGUUGCCCUCAUCCAACCCACAUUCACACAAUGAAUUCGCACGGACACCAAUCAUAGCCCGAAAUAAUGGGGUACAUACUUUGCCUAAGCGUAAACGGCAAAUGGUGGAUAUUACCCACUUCGGAGAAGUACGGAAUCGAUAGAACCACGGUUUUCGAGUAAUUCGAGGUUGUACACAGCCAUAAUGUUUACCAAUCUAGAGAUAUCCCAUUGCUUCUGCCAUGUAUUAAACAUAUCAGAUAGCGCACAACUCAACAGCCUCAAGAAUAGCAACUGCCUCACCUGUGAAAAUGGACGCUUGAGAAGGACAUUUAAAUGGGAGGACGAUAUUGUACCGUGGAAUUCACACCGCUGCUCCCACACAUCUUGCAGGAUCCACCUUAGAAGCGUCAGUAAAAACCGUGACCUCCAGUGCCAGCGCCUGCAAGCGUGGAAGCAGCAAGUGGUUGUUGUAAGAGAUGGCUUUGAUCAAGAACCUGUCGGC
This is a long non-coding RNA of Cydia splendana, 998 nucleotides long. RefSeq lists it as uncharacterized. NCBI's taxonomy places the organism in Eukaryota, Metazoa, Arthropoda, Insecta, Lepidoptera, Tortricidae. The transcript has 3 exons. The record is from RefSeq and is a predicted model, not a curated record.